AAAGUCGUAACAAGGUAACCGUAGGUGAACCUGCGGUUGGAUCAUUAUAAAAAAACAUUGAUGGUGCCUUUGGUGGCGGAAAGCAGGAGGCGCUGGAUUUUCCGCGCCCUUCCCCGACUGUCGACACCACUGGCAAGCUGUUGAAACCUGUAAAUGACUGUUGGUUGAUUGUAUGCAAAGUGACUUUGGUUCGCUUCCUGUGCCUGCGGUGCGGGAAGGGAAACAGAGCACGAAAGCGAAACGAUACACAACUUUUGGCAACGGAUCUCUUGGCUCUC
RNAcentral lists this unclassified non-coding RNA (278 nucleotides) under Chytridiomycota sp. RNAcentral's name for it is "partial contains small subunit ribosomal RNA, internal transcribed spacer 1, and 5.8S ribosomal RNA". The stretch from base 1 to 47 matches the Rfam family "Eukaryotic small subunit ribosomal RNA", at positions 1785 to 1831 of the family's 1831-position model. Lineage: Eukaryota; Fungi; Chytridiomycota. The record is from RNAcentral.